RNAcentral lists this ribosomal RNA (971 nucleotides) under bacterium. RNAcentral describes it as "bacterial SSU rRNA". It matches the Rfam family "Bacterial small subunit ribosomal RNA", at positions 504 to 1475 of the family's 1533-position model. The record is from RNAcentral.
CCCGACGCAGGGCGGGGUAUAUAGUAGAUGGGGAGAGUUUUCCGGAAUAUUAUGGGGUGAAACGCGCGCGCAGGGGGUUUUUAAUGUGAUAUGAAAGGCCCCCGGUCACACCGGGAGGGCUCUUUGAAACUGGGAGAGGUUUAGUGUAGGAGAGAGGAGUGGAAAUUCACAUGUAGAGGGGGAAAAGUGUAGAGAGAUGGAGGGACACCCCGGGGGAAAGGGAGUCUUUGGCUUCUAAAUGUCACUGUGGCGCGAAAGCGUGGGGAGCGAACACGGUUUGAUAUCCCGGGAUUGUACGCCCUAAAAGAGGAGUGGUAGAUGUUGGAGGGUUUUCGCCCUUUAGUGUCGGAAGUUAACCCUUUAACACUUCCCCUUGGGGAGUCGGUCCCAAAGGUUAAAAUUAAAAGGAAUUGCGGGGGGCCCCCCCAAGGGGUGGGCCAUUGGGUUUAUUUGAAGCAAACGGAAAAACCUUUACAAAUUUUGACAUUCCCUUGACCGGUACAGAGAUGUACUUUUCCCUUCGGGGGCAGGGGUGACAGUUGGUGCAUGGUGUUGUUCAGCUCGUGUCGUGAGAUGUUGGGUUAAGUCCCGCAACGAGCGCAACCCUUGUCUUUAGUUGCCACCAUUCAGUUGGGCACUCUAAGGAGACUGCCGGUGACAAACCGGAGGAAGGUGGGGAUGACGUCAAAUCAUCAUGCCCCUUAUGAGUUGGGCUACACACGUGCUACAAUGACGGUACAAAGGGCAGCGAAGCCGCGAGGUGGAGCCAAUCCCAGAAAGCCGUUCUCAGUUCGGAUUGCAGGCUGCAACUCGCCUGCAGGAAGUCGGAAUCGUUAGUAAUCGCAGGUCAGCAUACUGCGGUGAAUACGUUCCGGGUCUUUGUACACACCGCCCGUCACAGCCCGAGAGUUUGUAACACCCGAAGUCGGUGAGGUAACCUAUGGAGCCAGCCGCCGAAGGUGACAGAAUGU